AGAGUUUGAUCAUGGCUCAGAUUGAACGCUGGCGGCAGGCCUAACACAUGCAAGUCGAGCGGUAGCACAGAGAGCUUGCUCUCGGGUGACGAGCGGCGGACGGGUGAGUAAUGUCUGGGAAACUGCCUGAUGGAGGGGGAUAACUACUGGAAACGGUAGCUAAUACCGCAUAAUGUCGCAAGACCAAAGUGGGGGACCUUCGGGCCUCAUGCCAUCAGAUGUGCCCAGAUGGGAUUAGCUAGUAGGUGGGGUAACGGCUCACCUAGGCGACGAUCCCUAGCUGGUCUGAGAGGAUGACCAGCCACACUGGAACUGAGACACGGUCCAGACUCCUACGGGAGGCAGCAGUGGGGAAUAUUGCACAAUGGGCGCAAGCCUGAUGCAGCCAUGCCGCGUGUGUGAAGAAGGCCUUCGGGUUGUAAAGCACUUUCAGCGGGGAGGAAGGCGGUGAGGUUAAUAACCUCAUCGAUUGACGUUACCCGCAGAAGAAGCACCGGCUAACUCCGUGCCAGCAGCCGCGGUAAUACGGAAGGUGCAAGCGUUAAUCGGAAUUACUGGGCGUAAAGCGCACGCAGGCGGUCUGUCAAGUCGGAUGUGAAAUCCCCGGGCUCAACCUGGGAACUGCAUUCGAAACUGGCAGGCUAGAGUCUUGUAGAGGGGGGUAGAAUUCCAGGUGUAGCGGUGAAAUGCGUAGAGAUCUGGAGGAAUACCGGUGGCGAAGGCGGCCCCCUGGACAAAGACUGACGCUCAGGUGCGAAAGCGUGGGGAGCAAACAGGAUUAGAUACCCUGGUAGUCCACGCCGUAAACGAUGUCGAUUUGGAGGUUGUGCCCUUGAGGCGUGGCUUCCGGAGCUAACGCGUUAAAUCGACCGCCUGGGGAGUACGGCCGCAAGGUUAAAACUCAAAUGAAUUGACGGGGGCCCGCACAAGCGGUGGAGCAUGUGGUUUAAUUCGAUGCAACGCGAAGAACCUUACCUGGUCUUGACAUCCACAGAACUUUCCAGAGAUGGAUUGGUGCCUUCGGGAACUGUGAGACAGGUGCUGCAUGGCUGUCGUCAGCUCGUGUUGUGAAAUGUUGGGUUAAGUCCCGCAACGAGCGCAACCCUUAUCCUUUGUUGCCAGCGGUCCGGCCGGGAACUCAAAGGAGACUGCCAGUGAUAAACUGGAGGAAGGUGGGGAUGACGUCAAGUCAUCAUGGCCCUUACGACCAGGGCUACACACGUGCUACAAUGGCAUAUACAAAGAGAAGCGACCUCGCGAGAGCAAGCGGACCUCAUAAAGUAUGUCGUAGUCCGGAUUGGAGUCUGCAACUCGACUCCAUGAAGUCGGAAUCGCUAGUAAUCGUAGAUCAGAAUGCUACGGUGAAUACGUUCCCGGGCCUUGUACACACCGCCCGUCACACCAUGGGAGUGGGUUGCAAAAGAAGUAGGUAGCUUAACCUUCGGGAGGGCGCUUACCACUUUGUGAUUCAUGACUGGGGUGAAGUCGUAACAAGGUAACCGUAGGGGAACCUGCGGUUGGAUCACCU
RNAcentral lists this ribosomal RNA (1528 nucleotides) under Klebsiella pneumoniae. RNAcentral's name for it is "bacterial SSU rRNA". It matches the Rfam family "Bacterial small subunit ribosomal RNA". Lineage: Bacteria; Pseudomonadati; Pseudomonadota; Gammaproteobacteria; Enterobacterales; Enterobacteriaceae. The record is from RNAcentral.